ACCCAGUGUGAACGUUACCAAACUGUUGCCUCGGCGGGAUCUCUGCCCCGGGUGCGUCGCCCCCCCGGACCAGGGCGCCCGCCGGAGGACCAACCAAAACUCUUAUUGUACCCCCCCUCGCGGGUUUUUUUAUAAUCUGAGCCUUCUCGGCGCCUCUCGUAGGCGUUUCGAAAAUGAAUCAAAACUUUCAACAACGGAUCUCUUGGUUCUGGCAUCGAUGAAGAACGCAGCGAAAUGCGAUAAGUAAUGUGAAUUGCAGAAUUCAGUGAAUCAUCGAAUCUUUGAACGCACAUUGCGCCCGCCAGUAUUCUGGCGGGCAUGCCUGUCCGAGCGUCAUUUCAACCCUCGAACCCCUCCGGGGGGUCGGCGUUGGGGAUCGGCCCUGCCUUGGCGGUGGCCGUCUCCGAAAUACAGUGGCGGUCUCGCCGCAGCCUCUCCUGCGCAGUAGUUUGCACACUCGCAUCGGGAGCGCGGCGCGUCCACAGCCGUUAAACACCCAACUUCUGAAAUGUUGACCUCGGAUCAGGUAGGAAUACCCGCUGAACUUAAGCAUAUCAAUAAGCGGAGGAAAAGAAACCAACAGGGAUUGCCCCAGUAACGGCGAGUGAAGCGGCAACAGCUCAAAUUUGAAAUCUGGUCCCUAGGGCCCGAGUUGUAAUUUGUAGAGGAUGCUUUUGGUGAGGUGCCGCCCGAGUUCCCUGGAACGGGACGCCACAGAGGGUGAGAGCCCCGUCUGGCUGGCCGCCGAGCCUCUGUAAAGCUCCUUCGACGAGUCGAGUAGUUUGGGAAUGCUGCUCCAAAUGGGAGGUAUAUGUCUUCUAAAGCUAAUAUUGGCCAGAGACCGAUAGCGCACAAGUAGAGUGAUCGAAAGAUGAAAACACCUUGAAAAGAGGGUAAAUAGUACGUGAAUUGUUGAAGGGAACGCUUGUGACAGACUUGGGCGCGCGGAUAUCCGGGGUCUCUCCGGGCACUUCGCUCGUCUAGGCAACAUCAUUCGUCCGGGGGAAAAGGCUCUGGAACGGGGUCCUCCGGAGGGUAUACCCGUUCAUAUACCUGCGUGAAUGAGACGCGCUCUGCAGGAGCUGCGUAUGGCACACACU
RNAcentral lists this small RNA (1100 nucleotides) under Trichoderma harzianum. RNAcentral describes it as "eukaryotic LSU rRNA". The stretch from base 513 to 1100 matches the Rfam family "Eukaryotic large subunit ribosomal RNA", at positions 1 to 532 of the family's 3401-position model. The record is from RNAcentral. Lineage: Eukaryota; Fungi; Ascomycota; Sordariomycetes; Hypocreales; Hypocreaceae.